This 575-nucleotide ribosomal RNA is filed under the name uncultured bacterium. RNAcentral's name for it is "bacterial SSU rRNA". It matches the Rfam family "Bacterial small subunit ribosomal RNA", at positions 42 to 591 of the family's 1533-position model. The record is from RNAcentral.
GUAGGCCUAACACAUGCAAGUCGAACGGCAGCACAGGAGAGCUUGCUCUCAUGGGUGGCGAGUGGCGGACGGGUGAGGAAUACAUCGGAAUCUACUUUUUCGUGGGGGAUAACGUAGGGAAACUUACGCUAGUACCGCAUACGACCUACGGGUGAAAGCAGGGGAUCUUCGGACCUUGCGCGAUUGAAUGAGCCGAUGUCGGAUUAGCUAGUUGGCGGGGUAAAGGCCCACCAAGGCGACGAUCCGUAGCUGGCCUGAGAGGAUGAUCAGCCACACUGGAACUAGAGACACGGUCCAGACUCCUACGGGAGGCAGCAGUGGGGAAUAUUUGGACAAUGGGCUGCAAGCCUGAUCCAUGCCAUACCGCAGUGGGUGAAGAACGGCCUUCGGGUUGUAAAGCCCUUAUUGUUGGGAAAGAAAUCCAGACUGGCUAAUACCCGGUUGGGAUGACGGUACCCAAAGAAUAACGCACCGGCUAACUUCGUGCCAGCAGCCGCGGUAAUACAGAAGGGUGCCAUGCGUUACUCGAGAAUUACUGGGCGUAACAGCGUGCGUAGGUGGNCGNUUUAAGUCCG